This 447-nucleotide ribosomal RNA is filed under the name uncultured bacterium. Its description in RNAcentral is "bacterial SSU rRNA". It matches the Rfam family "Bacterial small subunit ribosomal RNA", at positions 355 to 825 of the family's 1533-position model. The record is from RNAcentral.
UGGGGAAUAUUGGACAAUGGGCGCAAGCCUGAUCCAGCCAUGCCGCGUGAGUGAUGAAGGCCUUAGGGUUGUAAUGCUCUUUUGGCGGGGACGAUAAUGACGGUACCCGCAGAAUAAGCCCCGGCUAACUUCGUGCCAGCAGCCGCGGUAAUACGAAGGGGGCUAGCGUUGUUCGGAAUUACUGGGCGUAAAGCGCACGUAGGCGGAUCGGCAAGUCAGGGGUGAAAUCCCGGGGCUCAACCUCGGAACUGCCUCUGAUACUGCCAGUCUAGAGUCCGGAAGAGGUGGGUGGAAUUCCUAGUGUAGAGGUGAAAUUCGCAGAUAUUAGGAAGAACACCGGUGGCGAAGGCGGCCCACUGGUCCGGUACUGACGCUGAGGUGCGAAAGCGUGGGGAGCAAACAGGAUUAGAUACCCCCGUAGUCCCUGAGCGGGCUGGCAAGGCGCAU